RNAcentral lists this unclassified non-coding RNA (253 nucleotides) under uncultured Phycisphaeraceae bacterium. RNAcentral's name for it is "contains 16S-23S intergenic spacer region". It matches the Rfam family "Bacterial small subunit ribosomal RNA", at positions 524 to 776 of the family's 1533-position model. Lineage: Bacteria; Pseudomonadati; Planctomycetota; Phycisphaerae; Phycisphaerales; Phycisphaeraceae. The record is from RNAcentral.
UACAGAGGGCUCGAGCGUUAAUCGGAAUCACUGGGCUUAAAGGGUGCGCAGGCGGACUUGCAAGUGUCUUGUGAAAGCCCACCGCUCAACGGUGGAAUAGCUUGGCAUACUGCAAGUCUUGAGCCCGUCAGGGGUCGUCGGAACGCUAGGUGGAGCGGUGAAAUGCGUAGAUAUCUAGCGGAACGCCAAAGGUGAAGACAGACGACUGGGACGGAGCUGACGCUCAGGCACGAAAGCGUGGGUAGCGAACGGG